This 429-nucleotide ribosomal RNA is filed under the name Chloroflexota bacterium. RNAcentral describes it as "Chloroflexi bacterium partial 16S ribosomal RNA". It matches the Rfam family "Bacterial small subunit ribosomal RNA", at positions 355 to 776 of the family's 1533-position model. Lineage: Bacteria; Bacillati; Chloroflexota. The record is from RNAcentral.
UGGGGAAUAUUGCACAAUGGGCGCAAGCCUGAUGCAGCCAUGCCGCGUGUGUGAAGAAGUCCUUCGGGUUGUAAAGCACUUUCAGCGGGGAGGAAGGCGGUGAGGUUAAUAACCUCAUCGAUUGACGUUACCCGCAGAAGAAGCACCGGCUAACUCCGUGCCAGCAGCCGCGGUAAUACGGAGGGUGCAAGCGUUAAUCGGAAUUACUGGGCGUAAAGCGCACGCAGGCGGUCUGUCAAGUCGGAUGUGAAAUCCCCGGGCUCAACCUGGGAACUGCAUUCGAAACUGGCAGGCUAGAGUCUUGUAGAGGGGGGUAGAAUUCCAGGUGUAGCGGUGAAAUGCGUAGAGAUCUGGAGGAAUACCGGUGGCGAAGGCGGCCCCCUGGACAAAGACUGACGCUCAGGUGCGAAAGCGUGGGGAGCAAACAGG